AGCCAUGCGAGUCAUUGUAGUAAUACAAGGCAGACGGCUCAGUAACGCGUAGUCAACCUAACCUAUGGACGGGAAUAACCUCGGGAAACUGAGUAUAAUGCCCGAUAGAACAUUAUGCCUGGAAUGGUUUAUGUUCCAAAUGAUUUAUCGCCGUAGGAUGGGACUGCGGCCUAUCAGUUUGUUGGUGAGGUAAUGGCCCACCAAGACUAUUACAGGUACGGGCUCUGAGAGGAGUAGCCCGGAGAUGGGUACUGAGACACGGACCCAGGCCCUAUGGGGCGCAGCAGGCGAGAAAACUUUGCAAAUGGUUGGCCGGAAAAAGGCCAACGGAACAAAGGGUUUAAAUCCCGAGUGGUUUCUGCUAAAGGAACCUUUUGUCGGUCCUAGAAACACCGAUGAAUAAGGGGUGGGCAAGUUCUGGUGUCAGCCGCCGCGUAAACCAGCACCUCAAGUGGUCAGGAUGAUUAUUGGCCUAAAGCAUCCGUAGCCGGCUUGGUAGUUUCGGUUAAAUCUGUACGCUCACGUACAGGCUGCGGGAAUACUGCAGAGCUAGGAGUGGAGAGUAACGGUACUCGGUAGAGGGUAAAUCUUUGACUAUUAUGACACUGUGCGAGCGUCUACGAACCGUCCACGUGAG
RNAcentral lists this ribosomal RNA (637 nucleotides) under uncultured archaeon. RNAcentral describes it as "bacterial SSU rRNA". It matches the Rfam family "Archaeal small subunit ribosomal RNA", at positions 47 to 689 of the family's 1478-position model. The record is from RNAcentral.